Lemur catta (Ring-tailed lemur) is the source of this 3116-nucleotide long non-coding RNA. RefSeq lists it as uncharacterized. The transcript is spliced from 7 exons. NCBI's taxonomy places the organism in Eukaryota, Metazoa, Chordata, Mammalia, Primates, Lemuridae. The record is from RefSeq and is a predicted model, not a curated record.
GCCGCGCAGGUGCGGCUCCUCCGCCCGCCUCGGCCUCCCCGUCUGAGAGUCGGGGAGGGAGGCUGGAGAGAGCACGGCAGUCGCAGCGUUGCAGCGAGGCCUGAGUGAGUCACUCGUCUAGGAAGGACUUACAGGCGAGGAAGCCAAGCCUGCACAGGUGCGUGACUUGCCCGCAGCACACGCCCGGGAGCAGCGUGCACAGGGACCCCUGCACCUCUGGCCCCGCAGUCCGGUGCUCAUUCCUGCCAAGUUCAAGGUCCGACUGCAAAAGCACUUCUGUUGAGAAAGGGCAGUUCAGCCAAAACCCAGCUGGCUUCUGGAAACCAACGGGAGGGAACAGCCUGGGACACAGGCAGCGCUGGGCAGAUAUCCGAAAUUCCCCGUUACGGUCUGAGACAUGAGAAAUGACCACCUAAAGACUGAACUGAGCCAAAUCAGGAGUCUUUAUUAGCUGGCCAGCGGCUGCUCUCUGUGCCUUUGGCGGCGGCGCUAGGGGAAGGCCUCUGAGAGACGUUCGUCAGCCCCGGGCAGAGGCCUGACAAUGCACCGACCCCUGACACCUUCAAAACUGCAAAUUCUUCUGGACGAGUCUUCUGUUUCUGUUUACCAGCAACCUGGGAGGACUGCCAGCAGCCCCUCCAAACCCUCUUCCCUUCUGAAGAGCGUGAGCGGAUGAGGAGGGAGGCGGUCAAAACCAUUCCUGGCCCGGAUGGACAACCCACGACUGACCCAGUCCGAGUAGAGAUUGGUUUCCCUUCUGCGCGACCAGACUGGGACCCAAGUGAAGAACAAGCUCCUGCCAAACUCUCCAAACUACACAGAAGAAGAAGUUAAAAUAGGAAAAGCCCUAAAGACUAGACCUGAUUCAGGAGGUUGGAUAUUCCCUGGCUACACUGCCAAGCCCGGCAAGCUGCAGCAAGGUGCCAUGUCUGUGCUCGAGUAAAUCCAGGCAAGUACAGAUACCAAUAAUUGCUUAUAUUCAUUGACACUUUCUCUGGAUGGGCAGAAGCUUUUCCUCCAAAGUUAGAGACAGCACAAGUAGCUAUAAAAAACUAGUUACUGAGACUGUUCCCCCAUUUGGCCUCCCACUUGCACUGGGGUCUGACAAUGGCCCGGCAUUCAUCACCCAAACGACUCAAUUAUUAACUAAGACAUUAAAGAUUAAUUAAAAAUUACACUAUACUUAUAGGCCUCGGAGUUCAGGACAGAUAAAAAAGAUAAAUAAGACUUUAAAAAACAUUAAACAAAUUAAAGCUAGAGACUGGCGCAGACUGGGUAGGUCUCCUCCCCUUUGCUCUGCUAAGGGCUAGAGGCACUCCUUAUGUUAAGGGCUUAACCCCAUAUGAAAUCAUGUUCGGCCGACCGUCCCUGCUUAUCCCCAAGCUGGGGGGGGGACCAGGUACCAGAGUUAAAUAACCAUUCCCUUCUUAGCUCAUUGCAGGCCUUACAGUCUGGUGUCCGGCAGACCUGAGACCUUGUAAAGGCCGCUCAUCCUGGACCAAUUAAUCCUCCCCCUGAGAAAGGCUUCGUUUCAGGUACAGCCCAGAGAUCUCGCUGGGGCCUCCAAACGUUAUGGUCUGAGAUGCGAGAAAUGACCACCUAAAGACGGAAUUGAGCCAAAUCAGGAGUCUUUAUUAGCUGGCCAGCGGCUGCUCUCUCUGCCGCCACCAAAGGCUAAUAAAGACUUCUGAUUUGGCUCAAUUUGGUCUUUACGUGGUCAUUUCUGACGUCUCAGACCAUAACAUUCCCGUCACCCAUCUACCGCCACCUGCUCACUCAGCCCCUCGAGCCCUCUGUCCCUCCAGAGAAGCACACAGGCUCACGGACCGGGACAAACUGGAACGUGACUAAACCGCGUCUGCAGCUCCUGCGUGUCACCGCACACACCGGCCAGCUGCCCCUGCUCACCGGCGACUGUGCCGUGACUUCCUGGGAAGAACUGAGACUGAGCAGCUCACACAGCAGCAGUCCUGCCACAUCCUGCCACGCAAAAAUCAAUAAUUCAGCCCAGUGUGGGCUGAGGAACGAGGACUGUGACCUGCUUCCCAGGCAUUCUUAAACCCACUGAAGUUUCCAAAACACACCGAGAAGCCUGUAAGUGCCAGAGCACAGGGACCACAUGUGCUGGUGUGUUUCUCAUCACUACGUCCCCGUGCCCAGCACAGAGCCUGGGACGAAACAGACUCUCAGUGGCUUGGUUGUUUAUCUAACCCGGAUCAGUGAAGGGAUGGAGAAGGGAGGAGCUCAGACACCCGCCAUGUCAUCGUGUCAUCGGCCGCACUCCUCUCCUGCGGCCGCCUUGGCUAACUCUUGUCUCUGCACCUAGAAGGCUUUUGAUUUUGAGCUCUGAGGGGCUGACAGGUAAACCUCACACACGCGAAGACUAGCUCUGGGGCCAGAAUUCUGCCUCUGCCAUGACUGAUGUGAAUUGAUACUUCACCUGUGUGUGUCUGGUUUCGACUGUCAUAUGGGAACAGAGAUGGCUCCUACAGGACUACUGAGAAUUAAAUAGCACAGGGAAAACAUUCAGACAGGCCUGUCUCACACACAGUGACUAUUGGCCGCUUUCCUUCACUGCUGCUACGAUGAUUGUAACUUCCAGUUCAUUCAAGUGACUCAUUGACUAGAAACCUAAGGCUUAUAAGAAGCCGCCCUUCUGCCAAAGCCUGCAGAGAAGCCUCUCUUGGGGCUGAACUGCCAUCAGCAGACAAAAUGAUCUCUUGUACGAGCUGAUUAGAGAACCAGAGCAAGAUCCCUGCAGUGUUCUUUUGUCCCUGUAAAAACACUUUCUGGUAUUCACUUUACCAUGCAGUGUGGCCGGUGCCCUGUCUGAUCAAGGCUUCUCAGGAGGUUGACUUGACAGCAGCAGUGGGAGAACUGAGUCACCACACAGCACGUGUCAGCAUGAGGCAGAAUCCCAGAGAUCUUGCACUGUGACAUUCAGGACCAGGGUCAUAUUGGCAGCAGAAAUUUGUUUCAGGAAAACACCACCAACCGUUACAUUAAAUUAAUGGGGUCAAUUUGAAUGUUAUUGCUUUUAUAGCUUUGUUUAUAUUUAAUUUAUAUGCCGAUUUUUUUUUUUUGAGAUGGGGUCUUGCUCUGUUGCCCAGGCUGGA